GACGAACGCUGGCGGCGUGCUUAACACAUGCAAGUCGAACGGAAAGGCCCUGCUUUUGUGGGGUGCUCGAGUGGCGAACGGGUGAGUAACACGUGAGUAACCUGCCCUUGACUUUGGGAUAACUUCAGGAAACUGGGGCUCAUACCGGAUAUGAGCUCCUGCUGCAUGGUGGGGGUUGGAAAGUUUCGGCGGUUGGGGAUGGACUCGCGGCUUAUCAGCUUGUUGGUGGGGUAGUGGCUUACCAAGGCUUUGACGGGUAGCCGGCCUGAGAGGGUGACCGGCCACAUUGGGACUGAGAUACGGCCCAGACUCCUACGGGAGGCAGCAGUGGGGAAUAUUGCACAAUGGGCGGAAGCCUGAUGCAGCAACGCCGCGUGCGGGAUGACGGCCUUCGGGUGGUAAACCGCUGUCGCCUGUGACGAAGCGUGAGUGACGGUAAUGGGUAAAGAAGCACCGGCUAACUACGUG
Molecule: ribosomal RNA, 468 nt
Filed under: uncultured bacterium
Lineage: Bacteria
Description: partial 16S ribosomal RNA
Rfam family: Bacterial small subunit ribosomal RNA
Source: RNAcentral